Molecule: long non-coding RNA, 4557 nt
Organism: Apis mellifera (honey bee)
Lineage: Eukaryota; Metazoa; Arthropoda; Insecta; Hymenoptera; Apidae
Exons: 6
Source: RefSeq, a predicted model, not a curated record
GACGGUUAUCGAGGAGAACGCAGCUAUCUGUAUUCCAAACAUAAGCCACUCGGAUCCAGCCACUGAUCCGCCAUUUUUUCGUGGAUUCGAGCCAAGAUUCGAUUCGAGAAGGAAACUUUGGUGUUGUGGAUAUUCGAUUUCCCAGUUAUGCCUAGGAUGUGGAAAAUUAUCGACCGAAUUUGCCAUGAGAAAUCGUCGAUGACGGAAUAUUUAUUCCACCGUGGUGGCGAAACACGUGAUUAUCGAAUAUUAAGAUUAAUGAUACCAUCGGAUGUAAUCAGCAAUACCUAAAUGCCCGUCCAGUAAACGUCAUAACUAGUUAAUACUCAGCCAUGAAUAUUUGAUUAAUGCGGUUGACAAUUAAGAAGAAAAAAGAGAAAGAAGUGUUAUGUAAAUUUGUUUUAAUCAGCAGAACACUCCAAGAAGAUUAAAGAACAACUAUAUAAGAGUAAAGGACAAAAUAGAAAAUUGAACGAAGAGAAGAAUUUAACGUCGUGUAUUUUCCAUUUAUACGUUUGUUCGAUGAAGUUGAAUUUAAACUGCACGACAGAUAUAUGAUGAAAAUACGAUUUGAGAUUGUUCCGUGUGUGUUCGAAAUGGAAUAAAUAAGAAACUAGAAUUUGUUUAAAGAAUCUCUUUGCAUAAAGAUUAUUUAUUCGAUUCGAUUAAGAAUACUAUUUGUCAUAUCAAAUUAUCUUUACAAAAUAUUUAUUUUAGAGAUAACAUAUUAAAAAAAAAAAGAAAUUGAAUUGACAACCAGCAUCUGUUUCUAUUCGCAAGAUAACUAGAACUCUAAUCGUGUUUUAUUUUUAUUUAAAAUUUUUUUAUUUACACGUGUGAAAAUAUGAAUUCAUAAAUAAAUUAUAAUAUGUAAAAUUGAAACAUAAAACGUUUCCUUCCUUAUUAAUUCCAAUGAAUCUUCGAAUAUAUUUCCUUAAAAAAUUAUACAUUUAUAACAAUUACAAUUUCAAAUAAAGAAAAAAAAAAGAUAUAUUAAUCUAGAUUAAUCUUUUAUGAAUUCUCAUUCUUAUUAAGAACGAUAAAAAGAAGAGUAUUAAGAAUGAUGUGCAAAGUAAAAUAAGAUGUUUAUCCAUGUAUAUGGAAGAUCAAAUAUGAUAAAUAAACCACAAAUGGUACAAUUAGAAGUUAAUUAUUAUUUUCCAGUCUGUGCAAUUUAUUUUUCAUUUACGAACUGAUGUAACAGAAUUUCCUCUCAAUUUUUUCUCAAAGUCAUAACGAUAAUAAGCCAUCGUUUCUUUUCCGGAAAGAACAAUUUAUCUUUCUUAAAUAAAUAAAUUGUACAAGAUCAAGCAGAACAUUCAAACGGAAUAAUGGGUUUAUUUUUUUUUCGAGAAUAAAGAAAAUUAAAAGAAAAUUCAUUUUAUUAAAAAACUCGAAGAUAAAACAGAGAAAAUAAGAAUUGUAAAAUAUGUUUAUCGUCGACAUGGCGAUUGGCUGAUUGUCUACAGAUAUCGCUGAUAUAACGCCGCAGAUUUGAUAUUUACAACGAUUCUUUAGAAAUUGAAUAUUGUUGGCCGAUAAACAGUUAUUGACCCUUAAUAUCCUGAUCAAUAUCCCAUACUAUUAUUGUGCCAAUAAAAUUGUGGUUGUCAAACUGUGAAAUUAUAUUUCGAUUCAUAUUAUUUUCAAUAAUAUUGUGAAACGUGAUUCGAAAAUUUCAUCGAAAAUUUGACCACUUUAUUGCUUCAACGAUACAACAAUUCAUCUGCAGUAUCAUCUACAUUCAUUACAUGUAUACACACAUUGUGUACACACAUUGCACACGUUUAUACGUUAUACUUCAUGAACUGGCAUAUUGAGGAUAGCCAAAAACCUUGUAUAUCAAUUCGUAUUUGCAGAUAACGUUUGUAAAGAUAAACAAGGCUUACUUAUAAUACCAUAGAUGUAAGAACAUUGAAGAAAAAAGGAUAAUUAAUUUAAUCACGAAACUAGAUUAGCUAACAAAACAUCUCAUAGCAAACAAAUUUAUAAUUUAUAACGAUUCAUCCCCAAUCUUCGUAAAUAUAAUUCAAUUCGAGCAUAAUUUAAUUGCAUAGAAGUUUCAUUAAUAUAAUUGCAAAUGUAACUAGGAAUAACACGAGGAUUGCGUGUGAUCGAGUCUCAUGUUCAGGAACUUUGGCGAAAUAAAUUUUCAACGGCGUUUGAAUUAGAAUUUCAGAUGAACAAUCACACAGGAAUAUGCAACGGAACAACGGGAAGAAAAGUUUUACUACACCAAGACCAACAAAUGUGACGUCCUUUCCGCGAAACGGCUGUACAUACCUUGCAGACAAGUGAAAUGUCAUACAUAGUGAAUCGCGUGCAAGAGGCAUUAUGUAAAUAUCGGCUCGAGAAGAAUGAUGCACUCGAUUCACUUUGCUUUCUCAAUCUUUUUAUCUAUUCCCUUUCGAUCGAGGAUUUCUUCACGAGGAACGUUGUAAUCUCGUCAAACAUUUGCGUAAACGUAUUUCGUCUCUAGAUUUUUCUCGAUAAUUCUCGAAAUUCUUGAUACAGAAUCAAUGAAUUGGUGAUGUAAGAUCUAACGAUAAAUUCAUAAUACAAUUUAAUUGCAAGAAUACAAUAUAUUUUUUUCAGUAGCGAUUAAGUGAUGAGACUGAGAAUAAAUAUUUGAACAUUAUUUUCUAUUGCUGACAAUUUGAGAACAAAUUUUUAUUCCCUCGUAUAUUUUCAUUUUCAUUUUUUUCUUUUUUUGAGAAAAUAAUAAAUUAUUUAUGUAUUCAAUUUAUGAAUAAUUCUGUGAAAUUAUUCAGUCGAAACAAAAUAUGGAAUUCUAUUUGAAUCACGAAGUUAGUUUAUAAAUUCGAAAAUCGUGAUACAUUUCAAAGAUUAUUAUCAUCUGCCUAACUUCGACAAGAAGAUAUAUUUUUCUCGAAUUAAUAUUUAUUUAUUCACAUCACAGUUCGAGAAAGUUUAUUGCAUGGAAAGAGAAACAGUAGUUUUUCCUUGAAUUUGCUUUUGCAACAAAGUUGCUAAGCUGUCUCAAUUCGCACAAAUACGAAUUUCCAAGCAUCCACUCUUUCUUAUUCCGAGUGAUAUAACGAGUCUACGUUCCAUUUCGAUAGAAUAGUUAUCGAUUUUUUGAAUCGAAUUCUUUCUUGUAGAAAGCGCGUCUCUGGAAAAAAAAAAGCACUGGUCGAAGUCUCAAAGCCAACAGUGAACGUUCAGAUUCAGAGAAGCGACAGGACAACGAAGUUUAAAUAGCUUGACGAAAUUCAAAAUUCAAAAUCCCCCCUCUGUCCAAACGUUCGAACUUUUCAAGUUGAAAAUGGAAAAGCUUUAAACUUCUUCAACUUAAACAUCUGAGAAAUCGCACGAGGCUCGAUGUAAGAACUUGGUGAAACUUUAAUCUGUAAAAAAAAAAGAAGAAAAAAAAAGAUGUGCUGCGAGGAAUAUAGCACAGAAAGUUCAAGUAUUAUAGAAUUAUCAGCAUAUUCACGAGAAUUUGAAAAAAGAAAUUAGAUUGGAAUAUAUGUUGGCGAAGAUAAUUUUUUUAAAUUUAAUUUUACAAUUAUAAUCUUUCAAAAAGAUUUAUCUUAUUUGAAUUAAAAUAAGAAAAUACAUCGAAUUUUCUAUUAAUUUAUAAUUAAGAAAAUUAUAACUUUUGGCUAGAUACAAUAAUAAUGGACCCAUGAGGAACGACAUUGUAACCUAUCAUUCUAAACGACCAAUCAUCCUGUCACGUUUUUACCCCAUGAGAAAUGCAUCGAGAUUUCGAGAAAAUCGCAGGAACAGAACAUUGGGUAGUUCUUUUAUUCGCAUAAAAUUUCUGGCAAAAACUAUAUAUUGUCACAAUGGGAUGCUUUUAACAAAUCGUCCGAAAAGUUGCAUUUUCGGAUUCGUGGCAUUAAUCUUCAACUACAAACUUGCGUGCACGAGGAAAAAUUAGGAAAAUUCUGAUUUCCUUGUGUGAAAUAAAUGCACCAUCGUUUUAAAUUCGUUGGAAACGGGUCAAGAUCGAGGUAGUAUGCAUGAAUCGAACAAUUAAACAACUGAGCAGCAGUGUUUGUUUGCAAAUAAUUCAGAAAUAGAAUUUAGAAUAGGAAUCUUUUCAAGAAAAAUUUUCACUGCAACAACGAAUCGUUUAAAUCUUCGUUGACAUAGAACAUUUGGAAAAAGUUAAGCAAAAACGGUGUGCAACACGAUUUGAACAAUGAAACAUCAAGCAAGGACGCGAGAUUUCCAUACAUUUUAAAUAAUUCCCACAUCUCGGCUUUUGCAGCAAGAUGAUUUUACAUUCAAAUCUUCAAGCCACACGCAAAUCACGAAAAAAUAUUUUACCGAGAUUCCAAGUUGGAGCUUCGUCCAAUUUCUAGCUCACGUCUCCUUGUUUUCCUGGACGACAUUAAAAAAAUAUUUCGUCGUUGCACGACGAAAGACGGGGACAAUUUGUUUGGAUCUACUCCCACGGUGUUCUGAAUCAAGAUAUUCCACGAACCUCGUUCCACUUUUUCCCUCUUCUUUUCCUUGAAAUCGGCCAUUCUUUCUUGGUACCUUUUGUUUCAUAUCUUAGAAAUCUAGUGCAUUUUUAGAGUAACA